AAUGGGCGAAAGCCUGACGGAGCAAUACCGCGUGAGGGAGGAAGGCUCUUGGGUUGUAAACCUCUUUUCUCAGGGAAGAAAAAAAUGACGGUACCUGAGGAAUAAGCAUCGGCUAACUCCGUGCCAGCAGCCGCGGUAAUACGGAGGAUGCAAGCGUUAUCCGGAAUGAUUGGGCGUAAAGCGUCCGCAGGUGGCUUUGUAAGUCUGCUGUUAAAUAGUGAGGCUCAACCUCAUAAAGGCAGUGGAAACUACACGGCUAGAGUGCGUUCGGGGCAGAGGGAAUUCCUGGUGUAGCGGUGAAAUGCGUAGAGAUCAGGAAGAACACCGGUGGCGAAAGCGCUCUGCUAGGCCGCAACUGACACUGAGGGACGAAAGCUAGGGGAGCGAAUGGGAUUAGAUACCCC
This 404-nucleotide ribosomal RNA is filed under the name uncultured cyanobacterium. RNAcentral describes it as "bacterial SSU rRNA". It matches the Rfam family "Bacterial small subunit ribosomal RNA", at positions 370 to 788 of the family's 1533-position model. Lineage: Bacteria; Bacillati; Cyanobacteriota. The record is from RNAcentral.